RNAcentral lists this ribosomal RNA (475 nucleotides) under uncultured bacterium. RNAcentral's name for it is "bacterial SSU rRNA". It matches the Rfam family "Bacterial small subunit ribosomal RNA", at positions 28 to 507 of the family's 1533-position model. The record is from RNAcentral.
GACGAACGCUGGCGGCGUGCCUAACACAUGCAAGUCGAGCGGGGUUGAAGCGAGAGGUAACUCGAACUUCUACCUAGCGGCGGACGGGUGAGUAACGCGUGGGCAACCUGCCUCAAGGUCUGGGGUAACAGCCCGAAAGGGCUGCUAAUACUGGGUAUGCUUGUGGCCUCGCAUGGGGCUAUGAGCAAAGGGGAAACCCGCCUUGAGAUGGGCCCGCGUCCCAUCAGCUAGUUGGUGAGGUAACAGCUCACCAAGGCGACGACGGGUAGCCGGCCUGAGAGGGUGACCGGCCACACUGGGACUGAGACACGGCCCAGACUCCUACGGGGGGCAGCAGUGGGGGAUCUUGCACAAUGGGCGAAAGCCUGAUGCAGCGACGCCGCGUGAGCGAAGAAGGCCUUCGGGUUGUAAAGCUCUGUCUGGAGGGACGAAGGAAGUGACGGUACCUCCGGAGGAAGCCACGGCUAACUACGUG